Papaver somniferum (opium poppy) is the source of this 535-nucleotide long non-coding RNA. RefSeq lists it as uncharacterized. NCBI's taxonomy places the organism in Eukaryota, Viridiplantae, Streptophyta, Magnoliopsida, Ranunculales, Papaveraceae. The transcript is spliced from 3 exons. The record is from RefSeq and is a predicted model, not a curated record.
CUGGUGAUUUUUGAUGUUUUAUUGAAUACAUGUUGAUGCAGAUGAGACGAGAGUGCAGAUUGAAAGGGCACAAUUAUGCCUUUUUAGGUGUUGCAGAAUGAUUUAGACAUCUUGCGGUCGUAGGUUGGUUUGUAGGUUGGCUUAAUUGAUAGUGAUCCUUAAACUUUGCAGUUCCAACCUAACAAUGAAAAGUUUCUCAAAGAUCCUAUAUGUGUUAAUUACCAAGUAUCCUCUAACUGCACCUAGCCAUUUGGGCAAAGAGCAGACUACAAGUUGUGGAGAUUCAGGAUUUGCUGGUUUCUUUACACUUGAAUGAUGAAUGAUCAGAGAGGAACUUAAACACAAGAAUGAUGGCAGUAUGAAUCUCUUAUUAUGAGCUUGGUGCUACAAAGUCGAAGGAGUGUUCAUCUUUUGUUUCAAAAUUAAGGAAACUGUAAUGAUUAGUUUGUAUUUUUGAUCUUUUUGUUCUUGUAAAGAUUGUCUUUUUUUAAAGAAAUGAUGUAAAUUGAUCUAUGUGAUACAAUAAUACUUGAUU